Molecule: transfer RNA, 69 nt
Filed under: Scleropages jardinii (Australian bonytongue)
Lineage: Eukaryota; Metazoa; Chordata; Actinopteri; Osteoglossiformes; Osteoglossidae
Description: tRNA-Phe
Source: RNAcentral
GCCAGCGUAGCUUACUCAAAGCAUAACACUGAAGAUGUUAAGACGGGCUUUAAUAAAGCCUCGCAAGCA